UAGAUAGAGGCGCGGGUUUCAUCAGUACCCUCCGGCAAGGCCAGGCAGCCGCCGGAUGGGAAAGGGAAAACCGCCGAAGCCGCGAAAGUUUGCCUGAACUUUCGCCGCUGGGCCGCCGGAGAAUAUCCGCCGGACUGUCACAAGACUUUGUGAAGCGCUAUCA
Molecule: non-coding RNA, 163 nt
Filed under: uncultured Dysosmobacter sp.
Lineage: Bacteria; Bacillati; Bacillota; Clostridia; Eubacteriales; Oscillospiraceae
Description: Lysine riboswitch
Rfam family: Lysine riboswitch aptamer
About the family: Riboswitches are metabolite binding domains within certain messenger RNAs that serve as precision sensors for their corresponding targets. Allosteric rearrangement of mRNA structure is mediated by ligand binding, and this results in modulation of gene expression. This family includes riboswitches that sense lysine in a number of genes involved in lysine metabolism, including lysC.
Source: RNAcentral